CGUGUUAUAUGUCAUUAAAUUCCUGUGAUUCUCAAGAUCAUUCUAAUUUAUUUUUGUUGGUGUCGUCAUCUGCAGAUUAUAUUUAAAGAUUGAUAAAUCCAACGCUAAAAAUAGAAAGCCGGAAAUUGAUGUUGUUAUGGAAAAUAUGAUAAACAACAUGGCGGAACCUCGGCGACAUAACUUAUACUAUUUACGUAUCCGGAAUUAGUUCAUUUUUUCACUUGUUUCGAUUUAAAUAAAGAUUAAAAUUAUUUUUCGUAG
RNAcentral lists this long non-coding RNA (261 nucleotides) under Mytilus galloprovincialis (Mediterranean mussel). Lineage: Eukaryota; Metazoa; Mollusca; Bivalvia; Mytilida; Mytilidae. The record is from RNAcentral.